UAUUAAAGAAUUAUAAGUGAACACAACGAUUCCUAUGGUGGAUGAAACCGUAAAUGCCUGCCUAAUGUUACAUAUGUAUACGUGGUGCCUCCCGCGUACUUAUGUGUAUAUAUUAUCUUUUAAUGUAUUUUACUUUUACUUAUUAUUUUUAUUUAUUAUUAUAUGUGGUUUUUAUUGUUUUAUUAGCUAAGCUCUGCAUGUACCUGUUUUCAGUUUAUAACUAUUAUAUUGAUUAUUUACACUGCUACGUUAUGUUACGAGUAACCAUAACAACGAUAGUUAGCAAUGUUCGUUUUUUAAAAACUGUUCCAGUUCUAUGUUCUAUUAGCUAUUUUUAUGUUUGUAUACCUGAUGAUGGCCGCUAACGCGACCGAAAACGUUUGUGUGUAAUAAUAAAGAAUGUGUAUUAAGGAUACUGCUGUAU
This 424-nucleotide long non-coding RNA is filed under the name Androctonus crassicauda. Lineage: Eukaryota; Metazoa; Arthropoda; Arachnida; Scorpiones; Buthidae. The record is from RNAcentral.